This is a regulatory RNA element of Firmicutes bacterium CAG:536, 119 nucleotides long. It matches the Rfam family "FMN riboswitch aptamer (RFN element)". Rfam says of the family: The RFN element is a highly conserved domain that is found frequently in the 5'-untranslated regions of prokaryotic mRNAs that encode for flavin mononucleotide (FMN) biosynthesis and transport proteins. This element is a metabolite-dependent riboswitch that directly binds FMN in the absence of proteins. The record is from Rfam. Lineage: Bacteria; Bacillati; Bacillota.
UAAGUUCUUCGGGGCAAGGUGUAAUUCCUUACCGGCGGUCAAAGUCCGCGACCCAUGAAAAUGGUUGAUCUGGUGAAAUUCCAGAACCGACAGUAUAGUCUGGAUGGUAGAAGAAAAAA